UACAGAGGUGGCAAGCGUUGUUCGGAAUUACUGGGCGUAAAGGGCGCGUAGGCGGCAUGGCAAGUCGGGAGUGAAAGCCCGGGGCUCAACCCCGGAACGGCUUUCGAAACUGCCAAGCUAGAGUACGGAAGGGGCAACUGGAAUUCCCAGUGUAGCGGUGAAAUGCGUAGAUAUUGGGAAGAACACCGGAGGCGAAGGCGGGUUGCUGGGCCGAUACUGACGCUGAGGCGCGAAAGCCAGGGGAGCAAACGGG
This 253-nucleotide ribosomal RNA is filed under the name uncultured bacterium. RNAcentral's name for it is "partial 16S ribosomal RNA". It matches the Rfam family "Bacterial small subunit ribosomal RNA", at positions 524 to 776 of the family's 1533-position model. The record is from RNAcentral.